CCCGUGAGGGAUGCGGCCUUCGGGUUGUAACCUCUUUCAGUAGGAAGAAGCGAAAGUGACGGUCCUGCAGAAGAAGCGCCGGCUAACUACGUGCCAGCAGCCGCGGUAAUACGUAGGGCGCAAGCGUUAUCCGGAAUUAUGGGCGUAAAGAGCUCGUAGGCGGUUUGUCGCGUCUGCUGUGAAAGACCGGGGCUCAACUCCGGUUCUGCAGUGGGUACGGGCAGACUAGAGUGCAGUAGGGGAGACUGGAAUUCCUGGUGUAGCGGUGAAAUGCGCAGAUAUCAGGAGGAACACCGAUGGCGAAGGCAGGUCUCUGGGCUGUAACUGACGCUGAGGAGCGAAAGCAUGGGGAGCGAACAGGAUUAGAUACCCUGGUAGUCCAUGCCGUAAACGUUGGGCACUAGGUGUGGGGGACAUUCCACGUUUUCCGCGCCGUAGCUAACGCAUUAAGUGCCCCGCCUGGGGAGUACGGCCGCAAGGCUAAAACUCAAAGGAAUUGACGGGGGCCCGCACAAGCGGCGGAGCAUGCGGAUUAAUUCGAUGCAACGCGAAGAACCUUACCAAGGCUUGACAUGAACCGGUAAUACCUGGAAACAGGUGCCCCGCUUGCGGUCGGUUUACAGGUGGUGCAUGGUUGUCGUCAGCUCGUGUCGUGAGAUGUUGGGUUAAGUCCCGCAACGAGCGCAACCCUCGUUCUAUGUUGCCAGCGGUUCGGCCGGGGACUCAUAGGAGACUGCCGGGGUCAACUCGGAGGAAGGUGGGGACGACGUCAAAUCAUCAUGCCCCUUAUGUCUUGGGCUUCACGCAUGCUACAAUGGCCGGUACAAAGGGUUGCGAUACUGUGAGGUGGAGCUAAUCCCAAAAAGCCGGUCUCAGUUCGGAUUGGGGUCUGCAACUCGACCCCAUGAAGUCGGAGUCGCUAGUAAUCGCAGAUCAGCAACGCUGCGGUGAAUACGUUCCCGGGCCUUGUACACACCGCCCGUCAAGUCACGAAAGUUGGUAACACCCGAAGCCGGUGGCCUAACCCUUGUGGGGGGAGCCGUCGAAGGUAACCCCCGCG
This 1060-nucleotide ribosomal RNA is filed under the name Arthrobacter sp. RNAcentral's name for it is "bacterial SSU rRNA". It matches the Rfam family "Bacterial small subunit ribosomal RNA", at positions 398 to 1473 of the family's 1533-position model. The record is from RNAcentral. Lineage: Bacteria; Bacillati; Actinomycetota; Actinomycetes; Micrococcales; Micrococcaceae.